UGGGGAAUAUUGCACAAUGGAGGGAACUCUGAUGCAGCGACGCCGCGUGAGUGAUGAAGGACUUCGUUUCGUAAAACUCUGUUCUAUGGGAAGAAAAGGACUGUACCAUAGGAGAAAGCUCCGGCUAAAUACGUGCCAGCAGCCGCGGUAAUACGUAUGGAGCGAGCGUUGUCCGGAAUUAUUGGGCGUAAAGGGUGCGCAGGCGGCUUUACAAGUUGGAUGUGAAAUAUUGUGGCUCAACCACAAACGUGCAUCCAAAACUACAAAGCUUGAGUUAAGGAGAGGUAAGUGGAAUUCCUGGUGUAGCGGUGGAAUGCGUAGAUAUCAGGAGGAAUACCGGUGGCGAAGGCGACUUACUGGACUUAAACUGACGCUCAGGCACGAAAGCGUGGGGAGCAAACAGG
This 404-nucleotide ribosomal RNA is filed under the name Fusobacteriota bacterium. RNAcentral's name for it is "Fusobacteria bacterium partial 16S ribosomal RNA". It matches the Rfam family "Bacterial small subunit ribosomal RNA", at positions 355 to 776 of the family's 1533-position model. The record is from RNAcentral. Lineage: Bacteria; Fusobacteriati; Fusobacteriota.